AAGAGGAAGAAAUGGCUGGUUCUCAG
This 26-nucleotide microRNA is filed under the name Homo sapiens (human). RNAcentral describes it as "hsa-miR-3916". The record is from miRBase by way of RNAcentral. Lineage: Eukaryota; Metazoa; Chordata; Mammalia; Primates; Hominidae.